UGGGGAAUAUUGGGCAAUGGGCGCAAGCCUGACCCAGCAACGCCGCGUGAAGGAAGAAGGCUUUCGGGUUGUAAACUUCUUUUGUCAGGGACGAGCAGAAGACGGUACCUGACGAAUAAGCCACGGCUAACUACGUGCCAGCGGCCGCGGUAAUACGUAGGGAGCAAGCGUUGUCCGGAAUGACUGGGCGUAAAGGGCGCGUAGGUGGUUUUGUAAGUCUGGAGUGAAACCCCCGUUUUCAAGGCGGGGCCUGCUUUGGAGACUGCAGGACUUGAGUGAUGGAGAGGAUAGCGGAAUUCCCGGUGUAGCGGUGAAAUGCGUAGAGAUCGGGAGGAACACCAGUGGCGAAGGCGGCUAUCUGGACAUAGACUGACACUGAGGCGCGAAAGCGUGGGGAGCAAACAGGAUUAGAUACCCUGGUAGU
Molecule: ribosomal RNA, 424 nt
Filed under: uncultured Pseudoflavonifractor sp.
Lineage: Bacteria; Bacillati; Bacillota; Clostridia; Eubacteriales; Oscillospiraceae
Description: bacterial SSU rRNA
Rfam family: Bacterial small subunit ribosomal RNA
Source: RNAcentral